Molecule: ribosomal RNA, 475 nt
Filed under: uncultured Anoxybacillus sp.
Lineage: Bacteria; Bacillati; Bacillota; Bacilli; Caryophanales; Anoxybacillaceae
Description: bacterial SSU rRNA
Rfam family: Bacterial small subunit ribosomal RNA
Source: RNAcentral
GGAAUUGACGGGGCUCGCACAAGCGGUGGAGCAUGUGGUUAAUUCGAAGCAACGCGAAGAACCUUACCAGGUCUUGACAUCCCCUGACAACCCGAGAGAUCGGGCGUUCCCCUUCGGGGGACAGGGUGACAGGUGGUGCAUGGUUGUCGUCAGCUCGUGUCGUGAGAUGUUGGGUUAAGUCCCGCAACGAGCGCAACCCUCGACCUUAGUUGCCAGCAUUCAGUUGGGCACUCUAAGGUGACUGCCGGCUAAAAGUCGGAGGAAGGUGGGGAUGACGUCAAAUCAUCAUGCCCCUUAUGACCUGGGCUACACACGUGCUACAAUGGGCGGUACAAAGGGUCGCGAACCCGCGAGGGGGAGCCAAUCCCAAAAAGCCGCUCUCAGUUCGGAUUGCAGGCUGCAACUCGCCUGCAUGAAGCCGGAAUCGCUAGUAAUCGCGGAUCAGCAUGCCGCGGUGAAUACGUUCCCGGGCCUU